This 206-nucleotide ribosomal RNA is filed under the name uncultured bacterium. RNAcentral's name for it is "partial 16S ribosomal RNA". It matches the Rfam family "Bacterial small subunit ribosomal RNA", at positions 1297 to 1500 of the family's 1533-position model. The record is from RNAcentral.
ACUGAAGGCUGAAAUUCGCCUUCACGAAGUCGGAAGUUGCUAGUAAUGGCAGGUCAGCAUACUGCCGUGAAUACGUUCCCGGGCCUUGUACACACCGCCCGUCACACCAUGAGAGUUAGGAAUACCCGAAGCCUGUGAGCCAACUUUAUAAGAGGCAGCAGUCGAAGGUAGAACUAAUGAUUGGGGUGAAGUCGUAACAAGGUAUC